AGUAGUUUGAUCCUGGCUCAGAUGACGCUGGCGGCGUGCUUAACACAUGCAAGUCGAGCGAAGCACUUUUUUAGAACUCUUCGGAGGGAAGAGAGGGUGACUUAGCGGCGGACGGGUGAGUAACGCGUGGGCAACCUGCCUUACACAGGGGGAUAACAAUUAGAAAUGAUUGCUAAUACCGCAUAAGACCACGGUACUGCAUGGUACAGUGGUAAAAACUGAGGUGGUGUAAGAUGGGCCCGCGUCUGAUUAGGUAGUUGGUGGGGUAGAAGCCUACCAAGCCGACGAUCAGUAGCCGACCUGAGAGGGCGACCGGCCACAUUGGGACUGAGACACGGCCCAAACUCCUACGGGAGGCAGCAGUGGGGAAUAUUGCACAAUGGGGGAAACCCUGAUGCAGCGACGCCGCGUGAGUGAGGAAGUAUUUCGGUAUGUAAAGCUCUAUCAGCAAGGAAGAAAAUGACGGUACCUGACUAAGAAGCCCCGGCUAACUACGUG
RNAcentral lists this ribosomal RNA (498 nucleotides) under uncultured Lachnospiraceae bacterium. RNAcentral describes it as "bacterial SSU rRNA". It matches the Rfam family "Bacterial small subunit ribosomal RNA", at positions 1 to 507 of the family's 1533-position model. Lineage: Bacteria; Bacillati; Bacillota; Clostridia; Lachnospirales; Lachnospiraceae. The record is from RNAcentral.